UUAGCAUAGAGCAGAGUCUGCUCCUUAAUGCAUCCCUGGAUCAUAGCAGACUCUGCCUAUAGAGGCCUGGGGUCCCUUUGGCAGCACUUUUCUCAAGAAAGUAGAGUCGUGGACAACCAACUGCACAGGUUGGGAGGCUUUGAAGAACAAGCUGCCAUGAAUCCUGCAGCUACAAGGAAAUGAACUCUAUUAACUUGAGUGAGCUUAAAACUAGAUCCUUCCCCAGUCAAGCCUCCAGGUGAGAAUUCAAUCCUGGCUGGCACCUGGAUUGCAGCUUACAGAAGACCCAGCUAAGGCCAUGUCUGGACUUUAAAUCCACAGGAACUGCAAGAUGGUAUCAGAAGUGGGACCUGCAGUGGGGCAUCUAGCAACCCCCAGGAGCAUUGAGUGACCAGGCUUGGGACCCACCGGGCGCAGGGUGUCCAUUGUUCUCUCGAAGCAACUGAGAAUUGUGGAUAUUCUUCAUUAUUCCAUCAUCAUCUCAAACCUCUUGGGUAUAGUGUUUGACUACUACUGUGACCAUAAAUUCCAAUAAAACCUAGGAAAAAUGAAACCACUACAUUAACUGAAAGGGAAGGAUUUGACAGCUUCUUUUGGGCAUAUCAGAAUCGCCAGCAUCACUACUCUUGCACUGUGCGGCCAUUAUUAAGUGAAAUAAGGAUUACUUGAACACAAGCACUGCAAUGCCGCUACAGUCAAUGUGAUAACCCAGCUGGUGACUAAGUGACCAAGGACGGGGAGUAUCUACAGCGGGGAGACUCUGGAAAAAGGGAGGAUUCACAUCCAGUGCCACUGGGGCAGGGCAGAAUGAGAGUUCAUCAUGCUACAAAGAAUGGCACAGAAUAUACGACUUGUGAGUGGAUUAUCUCUGGAAUUUUCUGUUGACUACAUUUGUACUACAGUUGUAUGUGGGUAACAAACUGUGGAAAGUGAAACUUCGGGUAAGGGGGAGGCUACCGUAGAUAGCCCAGUAUUUCUUAUUUUGUGGAUUUGUUUAUCUUUCUGCUCACAUCCUUUUCCUUCUGCAUUACCAUUUUAGUAAAAAUAGAUAGCAUCCAUUUGGUGUUUAGUAUGUUUUUGGCACAGUCGAACAUUUUACAAACAUUAUAUCAUUUAAUCUGCAUAAAACCUAUACAGUAGGUACAACUAUUAUCCAGUUUUUUAGACAAGGCAAACUGGAUCACAGGGAGUUCAAAACGCCUCUUCCCUUGGUCAAGUUGGGUCAUGUAAUUGUCAAAGUUAAAACAUGCCCCUUAGGAGAUGAUUUAAAAUUCCCUAAUUUUUUAGAAGAAUCUUCAGUUUUCCCAGGAUAGAACAUUUAUUGAUAUGGUAAAUAUGUGGAAAGACCCACCAACCCCACUCCAAUCUUACAUUCUUGCCAUUAAAAAACAAACAUAAAGACUGUUCCCUAUGUUUUUUUCUUUAAAAUGUAUUCUAG
RNAcentral lists this long non-coding RNA (1438 nucleotides) under Homo sapiens (human). RNAcentral describes it as "non-protein coding lnc-NKAIN3-14:7". Lineage: Eukaryota; Metazoa; Chordata; Mammalia; Primates; Hominidae. The record is from RNAcentral.